UAAUACAUGCAAGUCGAGCGGACAGAAGGGAGCUUGCUCCCGGAUGUUAGCGGCGGACGGGUGAGUAACACGUGGGUAACCUGCCUGUAAGACUGGGAUAACUCCGGGAAACCGGAGCUAAUACCGGAUAGUUCCUUGAACCGCAUGGUUCAAGGAUGAAAGACGGUUUCGGCUGUCACUUACAGAUGGACCCGCGGCGCAUUAGCUAGUUGGUGAGGUAACGGCUCACCAAGGCGACCAUGCGUAGCCCACCUGAGAGGGUGAUCGGCCCCCCUGGGACUGAGACACGGCCCAGACUCCUACGGGAGGCAGCAGUAGGGAAUCUUCCCCAAUGGACGAAAGUCUGACGGAGCAACCCCCCGUGAGUGAUGAAGGUUUUCGGAUCGUAAAGCUCUGUUGUUAGGGAAGAACAAGUGCAAGAGUAACUGCUUGCACCUUGACGGUACCUAACCAGAAAGCCACGGCUAACUACGUGCCAGCAGCCGCGGUAAUACGUAAGUGGCAAGCGUUGUCCGGAAUUAUUGGGCGUAAAGGGCUCGCAAGCGGUUUCUUAAGUCUGAUGUGAAAGCCCCCCGCUCAACCCGGGAGGGUCAUUGGAAACUGGGAAACUUGAGUGCCGAAGAAGAGAGUGGAAUUCCACGUGUAGCGGUGAAAUGCGUAGAGAUGUGGAGGAACACCCGUGGCGAAAGCGACUCUCUGGGCUGUAACUGACGCNNAAGAGCGAAAGCGUGGGGAGCGAACAGGAUUAGAUACCCUGGUAGUCCACGCCNNUAACCAUGAGUGCUAAAUGUUAGGGGGGUUCCGCCCCNACUGCUGCAGCUAAAGCAUUAAGAACUCCGCCUGGGGAGAACAGUCGCAGACUGAAACUCCCAGGANNUGACGGGGGCCCCCCCAACCGUGGAGCAUGUGGUUUAUU
Molecule: ribosomal RNA, 916 nt
Filed under: Bacillus sp. (in: firmicutes)
Lineage: Bacteria; Bacillati; Bacillota; Bacilli; Caryophanales; Bacillaceae
Description: bacterial SSU rRNA
Rfam family: Bacterial small subunit ribosomal RNA
Source: RNAcentral